UGGGUUUGUCCCAAAUACAAGACGCCAGUUCAUGGCAGUGACAUGUGCUCCGGCCUCUCAUUCAGCGUGCUGGCCUGCAGGUGAAUGCAGAGAACAGCACAGCCCAGGAGCGGUGACAUUUCAGAGAUUUAUUAAUUUGAAAAUGAAGCCCGCCUGUCGAGAGGGGGACAGUUCUUCUCAAUCUGUCAUCGUUGAACCACACGCUCCUGACACGGGGACUCAUUUGUCUCGUCGGCUCUGACAGUUGGAUUCUCCCCGAGCUCUUCCCAGUGGAUCGCCCUGGGAUUUUAAACCGGAUGAAACACAUUCCGACAAGGAACAGCCUCUUUAUUAAUGCAAAUUACAUGAGGAGGAGAGGAGCGGCGCGGGGAGAGAGACGCCCGCGCGCUCGGCGCUCCGGUUCCUGUGGCAGUCAUUUGUUAUUUACACUUAUACACAUUUUUCAGUUUUAAUAAAAGGAGACCCGGA
Eptesicus fuscus (big brown bat) is the source of this 468-nucleotide long non-coding RNA. RefSeq lists it as uncharacterized. The record is from RefSeq and is a predicted model, not a curated record. Lineage: Eukaryota; Metazoa; Chordata; Mammalia; Chiroptera; Vespertilionidae. The transcript is spliced from 3 exons.